GCUCGUGUAGCUCAGUGGUUAGAGCUUCGUGCUUAUAGAAGCAUUCGGCACUCCGAAGCAUUCUGUGCUAAAGGUUCUUCAUUGAAUCACGAUCCUUACUAGGGAUCGCAGCAGUAAGCAACGCGACCGUCGUGGGUUCGAACCCCACCUCGAGCA
Molecule: transfer RNA, 156 nt
Filed under: Lachancea mirantina
Lineage: Eukaryota; Fungi; Ascomycota; Saccharomycetes; Saccharomycetales; Saccharomycetaceae
Rfam family: tRNA
About the family: Transfer RNA (tRNA) molecules are approximately 80 nucleotides in length.
Source: Rfam by way of RNAcentral